CCUACGGGAGGCUGCAGUGAGGAAUAUUGGUCAAUGGACGAGAGUCUGAACCAGCCAAGUAGCGUGAAGGAAGACGGUCCUAUGGGUUGUAAACUUCUUUUAUAUGGGAGUAAAAUGUUCCACGUGUGGGAUUUCGUAUGUACCAUAUGAAUAAGGAUCGGCUAACUCCGUGCCAGCAGCCGCGGUAAUACGGAGGAUCCGAGCGUUAUCCGGAUUUAUUGGGUUUAAAGGGAGCGUAGGUGGAAUGUUAAGUCAGUUGUGAAAGUUUGGGGCUCAACCGUAAAAGUGCAGUUGAAACUGGCAGUCUUGAGUGCAGUAGAGGUAGGCGGAAUUCGUGGUGUAGCGGUGAAAUGCUUAGAUAUCACGAAGAACUCCGAUUGCGAAGGCAGCUCACUGGACUGCAACUGACGCUGAGGCUCGAAAGUGUGGGUAUCAAACAGGAUUAGAUACCCGGGUAGUC
This 460-nucleotide ribosomal RNA is filed under the name uncultured bacterium. RNAcentral describes it as "partial 16S ribosomal RNA". It matches the Rfam family "Bacterial small subunit ribosomal RNA", at positions 338 to 795 of the family's 1533-position model. The record is from RNAcentral.